CCCGGUCCGACCGGCUCCGCCGCAGUGAGGGGCGGGGCAGGGGCGCCGAGGAGCAAGGGGGGAAUCGCCGCAGCGUUAGAGGAGCCUCCUGAGGUCGGGGCAGGGGGUGGGGGACUUCCGGAGUGGAUUAGUGGGGACCUCCGGGUACAGGUCGGAAGACCCUGCUAGGGUGCUCGGAAUGAGAGAGGGGAGCUGAAAUAGAGGACGAGAAAAUAGGGGCAGGACACCUUCGGGAUGGAGGAUGGAAGACUGCAAUCUUUAAACUGAGAGUACGCCUAGCAGAGAGAGAUCACAAGGUUUUCUGAGUAGUUAUGAGGCCCUCGGGAAAGGGGGUGCAGAGAUUCUGCCGCCGGCCCGGAAUAGGAGAGGAAGUAAGACAGUCCUGCAUGGGGCCAUGGUGAACGCUUCAGAGCUACGGAGGAUAGAUGGAGGACCCCUUGCCGCAGACACGGCGUUCCUCUAAUAGCCAGGGCGGCCACCGGGAGAGGGCUCAAGGAACUUUGCAGACGGCUCCGGAAUAGGGGAGGGGGACCUGGAACUGGGAAGGACAGCAGGCCACCUUGAAUGGGGCAAUGGGAGACACUGCAGUGGAUGGAGAAAGGGAUUCCUGGGAGGGGAGAGGGGACACUGUUGCCAAAAAGUCUCCAGUGACCCCUAGGAUUGGAAAUGGAAGACCACCCAGCCCCAGGGAGGGGGACUCUCAGGCAAGGGAUAGGACACUGAGGUCCAGUCAUGCUCCGGUUUGCAAAGGGGGAGAAGGGCGUGUUUGCAGGUGGUACUGGGAGGAUGAGCCAGUCCCACCCUCCCUCCAAAAGGGCUGAUGGGCCCAAGAGAAAAAGAAGAGACCUGGGCUGCCAAGGGCUGGCUGGGGUCCACAAGCAAGAUGGGGAAAGCGAGGUCCAGCGAGGAGGGAACAGGUGAAAUGAGUGGUGAGCCCGGCCCCACCAGAUGGCCUUGGGGCGAGGACAAGCCUGCUGCUUUUUCUGGUCCUGGUGUCCUGUCCUGGUCUCAGAGAGAACCCCGAUCCUACAGAGCCAGAAGGAGGGUGAGAGAGCCAGCCUGCCCAAACUACCUGGCUGAGCCUCUGCAGUCCUUGCCAGGAGAAGAUUUACAGCUGCCAGGAGCUCGGGAAGGUUAUGGAGGAAAGGCCUGGUGCAGUACCCAGGGAGCCUGCAGUGCCUGCCAUGGACUUGGCAACCCCGAGCUCUGCAGACCCUCUCAGUGGCAGGCCCUGCAUGUGAAGGUGGGUGAUCCGCAGACCCGAGCUCCCAUACAGCUGCACAGACCCUGGGCAGAGUGCCGAGCCGAGGCCUGGCUGGCUCCUGCUACUGUGGCUAUGAGCAUUAUUAAUUAAUGCAGUCGGGUGGGAUUUAUGGCG
RNA transcript from Chinchilla lanigera (long-tailed chinchilla), 1378 nucleotides. RefSeq lists it as uncharacterized. The record is from RefSeq and is a predicted model, not a curated record. Lineage: Eukaryota; Metazoa; Chordata; Mammalia; Rodentia; Chinchillidae. The transcript is spliced from 4 exons.